GGGGGCAUAGCUCAGUUGGUAGAGCAGCUGCUUUGCAUACAGCAGGUCGUUGGUUCGAAUCCGAUUGCCUCCA
RNAcentral lists this transfer RNA (73 nucleotides) under Candidatus Tremblaya phenacola PAVE. RNAcentral's name for it is "tRNA-Ala (TGC) (tRNA-Ala-TGC-1-1)". It matches the Rfam family "tRNA". Rfam says of the family: Transfer RNA (tRNA) molecules are approximately 80 nucleotides in length. Their secondary structure includes four short double-helical elements and three loops (D, anti-codon, and T loops). The record is from RNAcentral. Lineage: Bacteria; Pseudomonadati; Pseudomonadota; Betaproteobacteria.